UACGUAUGUUCCAAGCGUUAUCCGGAUUUAUUGGGCGUAAAGCGAGCGCAGACGGUUAUUUAAGUCUGAAGUGAAAGCCCUCAGCUCAACUGAGGAAGGGCUUUGGAAACUGGAUAACUUGAGUGCAGUAGAGGAAAGUGGAACUCCAUGUGUAGCGGUGAAAUGCGUAGAUAUAUGGAAGAACACCGGUGGCGAAAGCGGCUUUCUGGACUGUAACUGACGUUGAGGCUCGAAAGUGUGGGUAGCAAACAGG
RNAcentral lists this ribosomal RNA (253 nucleotides) under uncultured bacterium. RNAcentral's name for it is "partial 16S ribosomal RNA". It matches the Rfam family "Bacterial small subunit ribosomal RNA", at positions 524 to 776 of the family's 1533-position model. The record is from RNAcentral.